UACGGGAGGCAGCAGUGGGGGAAUAUUGCACAAUGGGCGCAAGCCUGAUGCAGCCAUGCCGCGUGUAUGAAGAAGGCCUUCGGGUUGUAAAGUACUUUCAGUCGUGAGGAAGGUGUUAAGGUUAAUAACCUUAGCAAUUGACGUUAGCGACAGAAGAAGCACCGGCUAACUCCGUGCCAGCAGCCGCGGUAAUACGGAGGGUGCGAGCGUUAAUCGGAAUUACUGGGCGUAAAGGGCACGCAGGCGGUUAAUUAAGUUGGAUGUGAAAUCCCCGGGCUUAACCUGGGAAUGGCAUUCAAGACUGGUUAGCUAGAGUCUUGUAGAGGGGGUAGAAUUCCGAUGUGUAGCGGUGAAAUGCGUAGAGAUGUGGAGGAAUACCGGUGGCGAAGGCGGCCCCUGGACAAAGACUGACGCUCAUGUGCGAAAGCGUGGGGAGCAAACGAGGGAUUAGAUACC
RNAcentral lists this ribosomal RNA (456 nucleotides) under uncultured bacterium. RNAcentral's name for it is "bacterial SSU rRNA". It matches the Rfam family "Bacterial small subunit ribosomal RNA", at positions 340 to 786 of the family's 1533-position model. The record is from RNAcentral.